Molecule: long non-coding RNA, 2194 nt
Organism: Coffea eugenioides
Lineage: Eukaryota; Viridiplantae; Streptophyta; Magnoliopsida; Gentianales; Rubiaceae
Exons: 2
Source: RefSeq, a predicted model, not a curated record
AUAAACUUUACUUUUUGCAUCUUUAGAUGCAUUUUCCCCUUAUUUUUACUGUUCCAACUCUCAUCCUAAGUGCAAAGAAAGUAAUCAUUUGUUCAUUAUUCGCACCUCCAAUUUGAGUUAAAGGAAAAUGAGAACAUAGUCACGGUAUGCUGCUCAUCUGCAAUCUGAGGUGCUGCCUGAGUUGGUGCCCUUUUCUUUCUUAAAAUUAGGUACUGUCUCUGAAAAUCUCUUGCCACUAUUCUGUGUAAAUAGACACAUGCCGAUCCCAGUAAUUCUGAUGCAACUUUUGAUCUACUACUAUUGCAGAAAGACCAGUGAAGGCUAGGCUGCAACCCUCCAAAUUUAAAAGAUCUUUUCCACUGUGCUUCUGAAAAUUUUGAUAUUGAGAUAUACUCUUCACCUUGGAGAAAAAUCCGUUUCGUGCUUUCAAGAGAAUUAUAUACAUGCAUAUGACUAAACAUUCUCCAAUUUGAAUCACUUCCUCAACUGAUGUUGUUAGAUUAUUUAUUUUAUAUUCUUCGAAUUUUAUUUGUAUUUUAUUAGCAAAAUUGAUGUGAUUAAGGAGUUUUUUACACUUUUCCUGUGUAUUUUCCUUGCAGGCAAAUGGACCCUUAGGCAAAGUGGAUGGAUGGAAGAGAUGGUGGUGAUGCGAACUUGUUCAUACCAUCUUGGCUGGUUUAUCUCAUGUGUAAAUAAUGACUAAGGAGGGAAAACUUCCUUUUGCUUUCAAGCCAGAAAAGUUACUUGUCAAAAUAAUUAUGUUUUUAAUUUUGUUUUAUUCAGCGCCAAACAUGCCUAUCUUAAUGAAGUAGGUAUUAUGUGCAUGAUAACUAUGUAUUUCGUGUUUGCGAUGCUAAUUAAAUUGUUGAUAAGAAAAUACUUGACACUUUCAUAUAGUACUUUAAUACCCAAUGAAAAAGAAAGUGUCUUAUGUGAGUUCUGUUUUUGGCUGGUGCGUAACUCUUAUUUCAAGGCCAGUGUAUGAGGCUGCUUAUUUGUAUGUUUCAUUCGAUAGCUUACGUCUGCAUUUUGGUUGAUGGCCUUGGAGUAAAGCAAAUACAUGGAUUUCUUUCUGAAGACUUUUAUUCAAAGAAAAACUAGGGUCAGUGAGUUCUUGCUAUGUAUGUGUGUUCUUUAUUUACUUAAAGCAUUUGGAUUAAUAGUGAGUAUUUUACACAUUGAAUGUAGAACUCCCAUGUAACAUUUUUAUGUCAAUUUUAGUUCUGGUGCUAUGUCAACCUUGAUUUGAUGUGUGAAGCCCAUGCCCAGACCUAUGUAAUGACAAAAGUCAUGAAAUUGAUGCAAAAUAGGUAAAAAUGGAAACUAAAUGAGUUGAAGAGAUGUGAGAGUUUGGUCUAUAAUGGAUUGGAAGAAGUAUAAGGAGGCAAGUGAAAGGAACAGGGGUUAUUGGCUUGAGGAUGCAGUGGAAAUCUCAUGUAGUAAGAGCUUUAAUUAUUAGUAUAGAUUCUAUUUAAUAGGAACUUCGGUUGGUUAUUGAAAUUAAUGACCUUACAGGGAUAUAAUGGUAUCCUUUGCAAACUUGUCUUAACAGAUUUAUAAAUAUGUCUUCACAGUUUUUCAUCUCAAUUAUUUGCUUGUCCUUUUUUCUUUUUUGGGUUAAAAAGAAGCAUUCCCGAGAGGGGGAAAGAAUGAUCGAUGCCUUGUAUAUUUUGCAAAGAAAGACACUGGGACUUGCAUUUUGAUAUGUCAUAUGAAUGAUUUAGCAGUCAUUUAUUGUGCUGCUUCUUGUUUCAUUUUGCUUACAUGAGGUUUGCCCUAUGCAACUACCAUGAUAAUCCUGCAGAGCUGUCGAACGAGUUGUGCAGGUCCAUUUGUGCUCCUUCCAUCCAUUGCUAAUAUUUGCCGUUCAUUUAACAGAAAAUUCCGGAUCACAUUGAUGAAAAAUUAGUUGAGCAUCGCACUCCAGACAUUGUUCUUACAAGUGGAACUAGAGUUUACAGUAUUGGAAACAGGAAAGAUAGAUUUCAUCGAAAAUGGAGCGACUUUGUUGCAGAUCAUAACCUCCAAGAUGGAGACAUUCUACUCUUUCUUCCUCAAUCUCACACUUUGUUUGCUUUGUUAAUCUUUGAAACCAAUGGAAUAGAAAUUAUUUACCCCUGGCAUCACACGUUCAUGAUUUAAAUAUUAUGUUUGUAGAUUCUGAAUUAUCAGUGAAAUUGGUCGUCCGAUGUAA